Molecule: long non-coding RNA, 2904 nt
Organism: Gasterosteus aculeatus aculeatus (three-spined stickleback)
Lineage: Eukaryota; Metazoa; Chordata; Actinopteri; Perciformes; Gasterosteidae
Source: Ensembl
GGUGGGGGGGGGUAUUCUGAGAGUGUUUGCUGAUGUAAAAGCAUUUCAGUGGCCAACAGGAGAAAAACAAAGGGCCGAUGAGCAAGACGGUGAUUCAAAAUACAACGAAAAGACGUCCCGUGACUCGUGCCCCUCACGAGACGAUCCCCUACGGUCUCCGUCUACUUCCUGAAAGGGACAAGGUCCCAAACUCCUGUUGCAUGUUGACUUGUUUCUGGGAGGAAGAAGGACCAGCCGUGUCUGUCGCGGGGAAUCGAAUUGGAACGUUCCGUGGUCGAUAUAUUGUGGACCGGUUCGUGGGCCGAGCCGGCGCUACGGAGCUUUGAACCAAUCACAGCUCAGUCUCGCGUUCAACACGUUGGAUAAGUAGAAACAGUUCUCGGCUGAGCGUAUUUAGUCCGACUCGAUCACCCGUGAUAAUAAACGUGAAGCGUCUUUCCAGCUUGUGUGAGAAUAACCUUCAGAGGAACCUGCUCACAACACACACACACACACACACACACACACACACACACACACAUAUGGCCUAACAAAGGAAAUGAUGCUGGAGGAAAUGAUCGCUCCUUAAUAAAUGCAUUUAUGUAAAACCUGCAUGAGGCUGCUUCACUAUAUUUUCCUCACAGUUGACGGUACCAAGGUUACCUCUGCACGCACGCACACACACACACACACACACGCACUCACACACACACACACACACACACUCACAGCCGUUCUAAACACUGAAGCCACACAACACAAAUGGAUGAAGAAGGAAGCGAACUGGUUACAGAUGGAUUCCUUCGAGCCGCCUUGAGGCUUCUGGGCGUGAACGCGGCGUUUUGCGUCUUCACUCGUUAAGAAAACACAUUUCGCCGCAUGUUGUUUUUUCCGUUUCUCAUGAAUCACCACAACACGUUCGCGAGCCAAUUAGGGCGGGCGCCCUGGUCGGGGGUUGGCAUGGAAACGGCACACGACGGGCCAAGGUGCCGGUAGGGGGCCCGGAUGCGGCGGGCCAUUGGAACGUGGAUAAACAACAAACAAACAACAACAAAAACAUAAACACAGUGGAAAAGCAUAUGGCAGCCCUGUCGGGGCGGAGGGGGCGGAGGGGGCGGGGGGGGCGGGACACCUGACGCAGCACACAAGUUGGUUUUAGCUUUAAAUACACAGUUUUUAAGCUAAAGUGUUUCUUAUUGUUGCCGUGUUUUAGAUAAAGUAUUCAUAGAUUUCAUGUAGCAGCUUUUCAUGAGACAUUUAUUUGUUUAUUUGUUUGUCGUCAGAUUACUGGCGAGCAGAACUUAACUUCCUGUUGAGCAAGUUUGGCCAUAAACGAAGUAUAUUUAUGAUAAGAUCUAUUUUUAGAUUGACUUCUCUUAUAAAUAUAGAUAUUUAUCUGUUGGUGUUUCACUUCCUGCGGUUGUAAUGCGACAUUGUGUCGAUCUAAAGUGUCUUCUAAUGUUAUUAAUGUUACAUUGAACACGAUGCCGAUCGUCCAAUGAGAACAAACGCAAAAAGGCUUUCUUCUUAUUCCUGAAACGUGUCGUAUCGAAUUAGUGUGAAACAUGUUUCUAAAAGAGAUGAAGAGGACAUUUAAAAAGAAGCCGUCUGUAUAAAAGCUUUUAACCUCAUCAGUCAAUGAAUGGACUCGUGUCACAAGCAGCUCCUGAUGCUGCUCUGGCUUUACGUCGUCAUUUGGAAUUCACCUGCAAUGUGUUUUAUUGACUGAGAUUCGUCCAAGACGAGAAGAGACACCUUCAUCUUCUCAGAGGCUCACGGACACGUUCACAAGAGCACAUUUAACAUCUCCUCAAACUUGCUUUGGUUUGUUUAAAUUCUUAACCUACCAAAUGUUAUUUUUAUUCUUAUCCUUCUCAUUUGCAUCAUGAUCAUUAUGCUGCUGCGCUGGUUUUUACCAUGGAUCUGGUGCACUGUCCACUUGGCUGCUGCGAUCCAGUGAAUUUCCCCACUGUGGGACUAAUAAAGGAACAUCUUAUCUUAUCUUACAUUCACUUUUGAUUGGUUUGGUUUCAGCUGUCAGCUUCUUCUUUUAAACUUUUUAAAGCUGCCACCGCAAUUGGGGACAGAUUUAAAAAUCCACUGGUGACAAAACAUCCAUCGAAGUCAAAACUUCCAUCUCAAACAUCUGAUUCUGCUGUAAAAAGGAGGAUUCGCAGGUUCUUAAUAAUUCAGGACGAGUCAGACCCGUCAGACUGAGGUUGCCUGGCAACGGCGUCCCGCCAGGAGAGAGUGUGACGUAUGAAUUCAGCUUCAAACGGGCCGCUGGUUGAUUGUGUGACGGCUGGAUGAAGCCCAGCGGGCCGUUUCUGCCUGUUUCCAGAGACCAGCUUCAGCUUCCCCGACUUCAGGCACAACGAUCGACUCUGCAGCGGAACGUCACAAGCAGCGCAUUUAAAACCCCGAUCGUUGCGUCUGUCUGCGAGGACACACACACGUUAGGAGCUUCAGAUCCCUUCACUGGGUGACAUCUGGAAGUUGGGUCUCUUGUUUCGGCUUGCCGCUGCCUGAAAGCGGCCUCGCGUUUCUGUCGACCCUCAUGUGGUAACCGGGCAGAUAUUAAGGCCACAGUCAGUGCAGCAUACGUUGGCUUUACAAGCAUGUCGCUUUCCCCCUGUAGAUAUUAAAUGAGCUGUAUAGACAUUGUUGUUUCUCUGUGUUUACGAUACGAGCCAGAUGAAAAACAUGUGUAUGUGAGAACCAUCACGCUGCCUUUGUGAUUUCAUUUAGUGCCGUUGUGUCAAUAACCAUUAUAUAAAGCUAAUGCACCACAAAGCCAGCCGUUUGCUGUGAUUGCAGUCUGAAGGGGGGGGGGUCCAUUGCUGCCAAAAGCUGUUAUUUGCCACACUGGUUUUACCCAUAAACAUGUAAAAAGCGUCUCUCGCUGGGGGAACAUUGUUAACCGCC